ACACACUUAAGGACACUUUUUAAAAAUGCACUUUUUAAUAAUAUCUAAUUAAUUUGAACUUAUAGUAAGUACACUUUCAUUAUAAUAUUUAUAAACACAAUUAAGUGCACUUUUAAAAUGCACUUUGUAAUAAUAUCUAAUUAAUUUGAACUUACAGUAAGUACACUUUCAUCAUAAUAUUUCACUAACACACUUAAGGACACUUUUUAAAAAUGCACUUUGUAAUAAUAUCUAAUUAAUUUGAACUUAUAGUAAGUACACUUUCAUCACAAUAUUUCACUAACACACUUAAGGACACUUUUUAAAAAUGCACUUUGUAAUAAUAUCUAAUUAAUUUGAACUUAUAGUAAGUACACUUUCAUCACAAUAUUUCACUAACACACUUAAGGACACUUUUUAAAAAUGCACUUUGUAAUAAUAUCUAAAUAAUUUUAAAUUAUAGUAAGUACACUUUCAUCAUAAUAUUUAUAAACACACUUAAGUGCACUUUUAAAAAUGCACUUUGUAUUAAUGUCUAAUUAAGCUUAACUUAAAGAAAGUACACUUUCAACAUAAUAUUUAUAAACACACUUAAGUGCACUUUUAAAAAUGCACUUUUUAAUACUGUCUAAUUAAGCUUAACUUAUAGUAAGUACACUUUCAUCACAAUAUUUCUUAACAUACUUAAGUACACUUUUUAAAAAUGCACUUUGUCUAAUUUAGUUUUACUUAAAUGUAACCCUGGUUAAAUAAUUAAAUAUUAUUAUUUUAAAAGUGUGCUUAAAAAUAAUAGAGACUAUUCAUACAUCUACAUUUAUUUUAUAAAUGAGGAAAUACAUGUGAAUAAUUCAAUCUGAAUUAUAAAUCUGAAAUGAGUAAACCAAUCGGAGUGUUUAAUUGUAAGCUCCGCCCCUUUUUUGCUUUCGGAUCGCGUCUCAGUUCAGAGGAGAGAUGCAGAACGACAGAGACACUCUAUCUAACGCGAGAGUGUUUAAUUUUAUUAAAUAUGACUCCUAAGUUCAUAUAAACUGAAGAAAUCAGAAUUUAACUUGCAUAUAUUCAAUGAUACAGCGUGAUUGUGUGGAUUGAGCACUUUUUGAGCUUUCAUUUUGACCUGUGUGAUAAUGUAAAACCACAUGGUGCGUUGUGUUCACUGCUGUUCGCUGACGCCAUUUUGGUUGCACGUGCCUGUGAAAGACAAAAAGAGAGAGAAACACGUGAAUGGACAGGUAUUUGUCUAAAUUGUCAUUUAUUAUGAUGAUGGCACUUAUGUAUGUAUUUUAUUUGUUUCCUGUAUUGUGUACAAUUGUUCAUCAUUAUUGAUACACAAUAUUGAAUGUUUUUUCCUUUCGUAUGAACAUUCCUUGAGCUGGAUUUUCCUAAUUGAUGGCGAGCCUCCCAUUUCAACCUGAUUGGAUCACGAAUCUAGAGGAAAGGACAAAUUUCUAUUUUAAAUAUUUUUCUUCAGACAAGUAAGAGGAUACAUUUCAGAAACGGUUUCCUUAUUUUGUUUGUUUACUUCAUUGAACUGAAACAUUUCAAAAGCACAAAUCUGAUAAUUUAAGACUGAUCAAUACUCCAAUUGAUAAGAACUUUGAACUUGAAUACUGAUUUCAGUGUGUUACGUAUAUAAUUUGUACCAUCUUUGUACAUUGAUUGUGACUGUGAUUUCUGAAAAUGAGAACUAAUUUAGAGGGUGCACCCAUAGUAUAUUAGCCUGACUACGUCAGACUUCGUACUUCCGCUAAAUUUCAUUACGCUUCUGUACUCAGUCUGAGAUACCUCCCAUUCAAACCGUUUUCCACCGGUCUCAAAACGACCGUCCAGUCAACGAACAGAGGGCGGGCUGAGAGCCAUGACGUAGACGCUAAACGCCGAAUCACGGUUGUAGUCUGUUGUGGACAUGAAGACACAAGGCUUGUUCGACUUCACGUGGCGCUGCAAGAACCGACAGCCGGAUGACGUCAAAGUAACGCGAGAACGAUUCGAGAAAUCAUACGAAGUGUAAUUUCAUCUCGCUCUCGCGGCACUUUAACGUCAUCCGUCUGUCAGUUCUAGCGGCGCCGCAUGAAGUCGAACAAGCCUACAGAAAGCUCUGUUGUGGAGAACCGGCACUUGCCAACUUAAACCCGAACAAGAAAAGUGUUUGUUAAACAUUUGAAUGGAGAUUAUGUUGUUGCCCUGCUCCCGACAAGUUUUUGGAAAAGUUUAAUUUAUCAACUUUACCGAUCGUCAGCGAGAAACUGUGUGCAGCACAGCUUGACGUGCACAACGAUCGAGAAAUCAUGGAAGGGAAUUAUAUUGUUCACAGUUAAUGUUGGAGGACGCGUGGGCAAGCAUUAUUUGGUGACAUUCCUGAUUAACCAGAAAAUAAGGUAGGGAGAUUUAAUUUACAUAUGGUUAUUGUUGUCUGGUGGAAGAGUUUGAGAGGAGAGAGGGGCUUUCCUCCCGUUAGACGUGAGUGGAAAGCCACCGUAAGGAUAGUGUUCAACUAGCUCUGGCCCGAUUUACUUUACAUAAUCUGCAAAAGUCGUUCAUAGCCAUGUUAACUCUGGUAUUUCGCUCGAUGGGUUUGUUUUCACAUCAUACGUGUAUUUUACAGCAGAGAUUCGAUGCGGCUGAUCCGGCGCAUAAAGCACAUCAUAUCCAAAUGUUAUGUGUGAUUGGCUUACGUUUAGACCAAUGAUUUUAAACUUCAGACAAGCCCCUCCCACGAGAAGGAAAACGAUUGUCAAUUAUGCCCAGCCAGACUCUGUCUAUGAAGCGAAGCAAAAUAGCAGAGGAUGGUAUUACCAGGCUAAUAGUAUAUAUCCCCCUUCUUCAAAUCUUACCCUGGAGGUCCAAAGCACUACAGAGUUUAGCUCCAACCCUGAUCAAACACACCUGAGCAAGCUAAUCAAGGUCUUCAUGAUCACUAGGAAAUCACAGGUGGGUAAGUUUGAUUAGGGUUGGAGCUAAACUCUGUAGUGCUCUGGACCUCCAGGGUAAGAUUUGAGGAACCCUGGUAUAUAUAGUUAAUUGUAUUUUCAUUGUUGUUUACUAUUUUUUUGUGAUUAAGGAAAGAAAAAGAAAGGUUUCUCAAUACUCAAAGUAAAAUAAUUUAUUAAUCAACUUACCUUCUGUCUCUGCUUGUUGCUCACUAUCACUGCUACCUCCUCCUUCGUACCGUGCACCCUUCUGAUCUUAUUAUUAUGCCUGGUCCAUAAGUAAGUGAGUUAAUAUCCGCUACAUAAAGAAAGUACACUUUCAUGGCAAUAUUUCUAAACGCAUUUAAUAAAUGAUCAUUAGACUGAUGUGACCUACCAAAGACUUGUUAAUUUAAAGUUCAUGCAGUUCUUUUUUAGUUGUCUGUUAAAAUGUUAAAAAAUAAUAACUUUGAGUUUAUUUUUUUCUAAGGGAUGUAAUUAUUCAAUAUUGAUAGUUGUUUGAUUCCAAUUUAACAAUAUUAAAAUGAGUUUUUUUGUUUGGACAUAUACAACUCAUAAUUAAUUUAUUAAAUGUACUUUUGCAAAACAAAAAAUCUGACUACCAAACUGUUUUAUUGUCAGUGUAAGCAUUGUGGUUUUUGUUUGUUUGCAAUGCAUUAAACUGAAAUGAAUACA
Non-coding RNA from Misgurnus anguillicaudatus (oriental weatherfish), 3581 nucleotides. Lineage: Eukaryota; Metazoa; Chordata; Actinopteri; Cypriniformes; Cobitidae. The record is from RefSeq and is a predicted model, not a curated record.